AUGAAAAAAAGCCUCAUGAUGAAAAUAUAUUUUUUUCUGCCAUUUAAAAUAUCGACUAGAAUAAAACUAAGAGAGUUUAAAGAAUAUUUCCCUUUUGUUGGUAAUAUAAUAGUUCGUUUCAAAACAUCUCUAACUGAUUUGGUUGAUAUUAUUAACGAAGGUUUAAUGACUGGUCUCCCUUUAUUAAAUAUUAAUGAAAAUACUAAUGUUAUUAAACCAAUAGAAAAAUAUAUUAUUACGAAUGAAAAUGAUAUAAAAAAUAUAUUAAAGCAAGAUAAUUUAAGUUAUGUUUGGGUAGAUGUGAAUAAUGAUGAUUCAUAUGUACCACUUUAUGAGGGACAUAUUGUUGUAAAGGUACUAUUUAUAAAUAAUGAAAAUUAUAGUAGCUAUAAUGACAUUUAUUUUAAGGAUGCAAAUCAAUACGAAUAUGCAACUGAGUAUUAUAAAAUAAAUGAAAAAAACUUAUGUUCUUAUAUUUUAUUAAAUGAAGAAAACAAUAAAGAAGAAGAUACUAAUGUUAAUAGUAAUAAUAGUAGUUCUGAUGUGAUUGUAGAUCACCAUGCUAACACAGAUUUCGAUCAAAUUAAUUAUAAGGAUUUAUUUUUUAAAAAAAAAGGUUCAACCAAUAAUACAGGGAUUAAUAAGGAUUCCACGUCAGAUUAUAAUAUUAAAAAUUUUAAAAACAAAACAGACAGUAUUAGCAUGAGUAACAUUAAAGACAUUGGAUACGUAUCAAAUAAAACAAGAAAACAUAUUAUAAAUAAAUUUGGAAAGAUAGCUUAUAACAAACAUAAUAACUGUGUUGAUGUGUUCGAAAAAGAAAAACUUCUUAUAGUACAUAAUAAUAGUGGUAAUAUUAAUGAUACAAAAGAAGAAGAUAUUUUCUUUCAAAAUAAUUAUAAAAAUAAUGAUUAUGAUAAUAAUACAAAUAAUAUGUAUUUUCAAUAUGAAAAUAAUCAUUAUGAACAAAACAAAAAUAAAGGGAUAAAUAUAAAUAAAGUAAAUGAAAAUAUAAAACAUAAUUUAGAAAAAAAAGAUUCUAACAAUUUGAAAAAUGUAAGUUCACACUACAGUGAUAAGAAUAAUGAUAAUAUUAGAACUGGUAAUGGCAAUGAUAAGGAUAAUAAAAAUAACAUAACCAGUAGACAUAGCAACAAUAAAGACGACUAUGUAUCAGAUAACUACAGACAACAGUCAAAAAUCAGAACAACCGCUAUAAAUAACAAUGAACAAAUACAAGAAGCUAUUAAAAAAAAAGCAAAUGAUCGGUUAAAUUUGUUAAAUGAACAUAGAAAUCAAGAGGAAAUAAAACAGAAGGAGAAAUUAGCAAUAUCAGAUAAAAUAAAAAAACAAAUUGAUAAAUGGUCUAAAAAUUCAGAUAACACAUAUAAGAAUAUAAAAGUAAUGCUAAGUACAUUGGAUGAUAUAUUGUGGCCAAAUUCAGAGUGGAAAACUGUACCCAUGUCAGAUUUAAUAUCAAACAAAGCUAUUGUUAAACGAACAUACAAAAAUGCCAUUCUAUUAUGUCACCCGGAUAAAAAUAGAGACACAUCAGUUGAGAUCAUGCUAAGAGCAGAACUGAUUUUCCAUGCACUAAACAAUGCAUACAAAGAAAGCAAAGGAAUUUAGCGUUAUAUAACUGAAAAAGAGCUUUUUAAAAUUUUGUCAUACAAAUAUUUGCUUAGUGUCACAAACUAGCCUUAUUCUGUUAUGUAUAUUUAAUAAUUUUAAUUUUUUUUUUUUUUUGUUAUCUUAUUACUUUUUUUUUUUUUUUUUUUUUUUUUCCUUAUAUUAUUUAUUAUGGUUCACCGUAAAAAAUCUUCAACAAAAAUGUAAUAUAUAUAUAUAUAUAAGUUUGUGUACCGUUCAUUUGUGCAUCAUUAUUUUUUAUAAUUUAAUUAUGGGUUUUGUAAAUUGUAAUGUGUCACAUAUGAUAAUAUGAAAAGUCAUACUACAAAAUUUGUCCUAUAUUUAUGAUAGAUGAACUUUAAAUGAACCCUAGCUGAGCCCUAACUAAACCGUAACUAAACUCUAGCUGAGCCCUAACUAAACCGUAACUUAACCCUAGCUAAGACCUAACUAAACCCUAGCUAAACCAUAACUGAACCCUAGCUAAACCAUAACUGAACNNNNNNNNNNUAUAAUUUGUUUUUCUCUAUUAUUUCUCAUCAGUUUUAAUAGCUGUAAUUUACACUUAAUCGUGCUUGUGUAUGUGCUUGCAUAAACGUGAUCGAACGUAUCUAACUUUCGGGUCAACCCUUUACCCCCCAAUUUUCAGCUAUAUUUACAGACACUUCACAUUUUACCUUUUUCAAAAAAAAAAGAGGCACACUUUUCCAUUGUUUCGACCAAAAUUUUCUGUGCUUCGUCUUGAUACUUUUUGUUAACUUCAAUAAUAAUUUCAUCGUGCACACAUAAAACAAUUUUGCCAUUUAUAUGUUUUAAAUUUGUAUAAAGUUCCACUAAAGACAGUUUUAGUAUAUCAGCACAUGUCCCCUGGACUGGAUAAUUCAAUGACUUGGUGAAAGAAAAAUAAGGAAAAACUACUUUUCUAUUAGAUAAAGUGGCAUACUCUAAGGACCUGUUUUGUUUUAUUUGGUUAUGCCAUUUAUAUAUGCCUUUAUAAUGUUCAAAAAAAGAAUUAUAAAAAUACAAGCAUUGUUCUAGGCUCAUGUUUAAGUUAUAAUAAUUAUUUGCAUAAUUUUUUAAAUUAAUAUAAUUCAUGCCGUAAAUGAGACCAAAAUUUAUAGCUUUAGCAAUAUGUCUAUCCUCUUGGUUGAUUUGGUCUAUUUUUUUUUUUAACAUAAUACUAGCAGUUAAUGUAUGUAAAUCUAUAUUAUUAUUAUACGCUUUUAACAUAAUUUCAUCGUUUGUAAUUUCAGCAGCUAUUUUUAAUUCGAUUUGCUUAAAAUCAGCUAUAAUAAAUAUAUUAUUUUCACUCGGAAUGAAAAUCUC
Piliocolobus tephrosceles (Ugandan red Colobus) is the source of this 2955-nucleotide long non-coding RNA. Lineage: Eukaryota; Metazoa; Chordata; Mammalia; Primates; Cercopithecidae. The record is from Ensembl.